Molecule: ribosomal RNA, 484 nt
Filed under: uncultured bacterium
Lineage: Bacteria
Description: partial 16S ribosomal RNA
Rfam family: Bacterial small subunit ribosomal RNA
Source: RNAcentral
AUUGAACGCUGGCGGCAUGCUUUACACAUGCCAGUCGAACGGCAGCGCGGGCUUCGGCCUGGCGGCGAGUGGCGAACGGGUGAGUAAUACAUCGGAACGUGCCCAGUAGUGGGGGAUAGCUCGGCGAAAGCCGGAUUAAUACCGCAUACGACCUGAGGGUGAAAGCGGGGGAUCUUCGGACCUCGCGCUAUUGGAGCGGUCGAUGGCAGAUUAGCUAGUUGGUGGGGUAAAGGCCUACCAAGGCGACGAUCUGUAGCUGGUCUGAGAGGACGACCAGCCACACUGGGACUGAGACACGGCCCAGACUCCUACGGGAGGCAGCAGUGGGGAAUUUUGGACAAUGGGCGAAAGCCUGAUCCAGCAAUGCCGCGUGUGUGAUGAAGGCCUUCGGGUUGUAAAGCACUUUUGGCGGGAACGAAAAGGACUGUGCCAAUACCACGGUUCGAUGACGGUACCCGCAGAAUAAGCACCGGCUAACUACGUG